This 24-nucleotide transfer RNA is filed under the name Prescottia plantaginifolia. RNAcentral's name for it is "transfer RNA-Cys". Lineage: Eukaryota; Viridiplantae; Streptophyta; Magnoliopsida; Asparagales; Orchidaceae. RNAcentral also lists the same sequence under 1 other name. The record is from RNAcentral.
GGCGACAUGGCCAAGCGGUAAGGC